Molecule: long non-coding RNA, 780 nt
Filed under: Athene cunicularia (burrowing owl)
Lineage: Eukaryota; Metazoa; Chordata; Aves; Strigiformes; Strigidae
Description: lncRNA (ENSACUG00000014639.1)
Source: RNAcentral
AUGACAUCAAAGCCUGCUGUGCUGGGUUUCCUCUUGCAAUGGAAGAGUAACGUCUCUGGCAAACAGGUCCUAAGCUGGGAAAUCGCAAUGUGGAAUAGAUUGAGGAGGUCACAUACAGAGGCUGCUGAUGAAGUGGGAAUUGACCUGAAUCUCCUGAGUGAAGUGAGUUACCUGUUAGAACAGGCUUUCAUUUGGUAAAGCAUCUUAAAUAAGGCAAAAAGAUUAAUUCCUUUGUGCUCAAAUUAAAGUACACCUCACUUCUGCAGCCUGUUUAUCAGGGAGGAUUCACUGCCACUGAAUCUGGAAGCCAGAAAUCCCAAUGGAAGAUUCAUACAUGCUGAGUUGCUGAGUGGUGGCAAUCCCCACAGCGAACCUGCUGAGCAGUCAUCAGGUAAUCAGAUGAGGCUGGCCUUCAUCUUUUUGAUGAUGUACUCAGCAAGUCCCACCUUGGUGGGAGCAGGAAGAGGCUGAAUGAUGAAAUCAUAAAACACAGUGGUGUAAAGUAAAAGUUGAAAUGGUAUCAACUGAUAGAUGAAAGUUCAACCCAAAUAUAUUCUUCCAGGUGUUCACACAAGCUCUAGUGUUAUAAAUCUUUCAGCUGCUGUAAAUGAACCAAAGCUGUUCAUUCCUGAACUCCUGCUCUUCCUUCAUCCUCUUUUUUCAAAGUUACUGAUGCUGUCUUUUCUCUGCAGUUUGACUGGGAAUCAGUCUGUGUCAGAAGAAUCCCAGAAACCACACAUUUCCCUCGUGGGCAGAAUUUUGCAAGGUGACCAGAACUGA